Molecule: ribosomal RNA, 402 nt
Filed under: uncultured bacterium
Lineage: Bacteria
Description: bacterial SSU rRNA
Rfam family: Bacterial small subunit ribosomal RNA
Source: RNAcentral
UAUUGCACAAUGGGCGCAAGCCUGAUGCAGCCAUGCCGCGUGUAUGAAGAAGGCCUUCGGGUUGUAAAGUACUUUCAGUUGUGAGGAAAGGUGUGUAGUUAAUAGCUGCACAUCUUGACGUUAGCAACAGAAGAAGCACCGGCUAACUCCGUGCCAGCAGCCGCGGUAAUACGGAGGGUGCGAGCGUUAAUCGGAAUUACUGGGCGUAAAGCGCAUGCAGGUGGUUCAUUAAGUCAGAUGUGAAAGCCCGGGGCUCAACCUCGGAACUGCAUUUGAAACUGGUGAACUAGAGUACUGUAGAGGGGGGUAGGAUUUCAGGUGUAGCGGUGAAAUGCGUAGAGAUUUGAAGGAAUACCAGUGGCGAAGGCGGCCCCCUGGACAGAUACUGACACUCAGAUCGAA